AAAUUAAGCGUCAGGCCUGGGUGCGGAGUUGCGGACCCAGCUGCUUUUCCUUUUCGGUUCGGUGGCGUCGCUCGCUGGCUGGCGCUGCUGAGAGUGCCGCCCCCUUCGGCCCUCCGAAGCCCCCUUCCCUCUCCCUUCUCCCUCCUCCGUCUUCCCUCCCCUUCGCACGGAGGUCCUGUCUUCCGCGCGCGGCCUCGAAUCGGCUUCUCCGCCCCGCCCCAUCCAUGACUAUGAUGACUCCUCCCCCCACUCGAGACCAGCAGGAGGACGACGAGAUGCUGGUCCCACACCAGGAGAUUGCUGACGGAGCGCAGCCCAUGGAAGUGGUGGCUCAGACCGAAGCUGUUAGUACUGCCGAGAACCAGCAGGCGGAGGAAAUUCCGUCGACCAGUUUCACGUGGACGAUCGAGAAUUUCUCCCGGUUGAACGUGAAGAAGCAUUACUCUGACAUCUUCAUCGACGGAGGCUACAAAUGGCGGGUCCUUAUUUUCCCCAAGGGGAACAACGUAGAUCACCUGUCCAUGUACCUUGAUGUUGCCGAUUCAGCUACACUGCCUUAUGGAUGGAGCAGAUGCGCCCAGUUCAGCCUGGCUGUGAUUAAUCAAAUCCAGAACAGGCUUACAAUAAGAAAAGAUACUCAGCACCAGUUUAAUGCACGGGAAAGUGAUUGGGGUUUCACAUCUUUUAUGCCUCUAAGCGAUCUUUAUGAUCCGAGUAGAGGAUAUCUUCUGAAUGAUACUAUUGUGGUCGAAGCUGAGGUUGCCGUCCGUAGAGUGAUUGAUUACUGGACAUAUGACUCGAGGAAGGAGACGGGUUAUGUUGGUCUCAAGAAUCAAGGUGCUACUUGUUACAUGAACUCUCUUCUCCAGACUUUGUACCAUAUUCCUUACUUUAGGAAGGCUGUGUAUCAUAUGCCUACGACUGAGAACGAUAUACCGUCAGGGAGCAUUCCUCUGGCCUUGCAGAGCCUCUUUUAUAAACUUCAAUAUAGCGACACUAGUGUUUCUACGAAAGAGUUGACCAAAUCGUUUGGAUGGGAUACAUAUGAUUCUUUCAUGCAGCAUGAUGCACAAGAACUCAAUAGGGUUCUUUGUGAAAAAUUGGAAGAUAAGAUGAAGGGAACUGUCGUGGAGGGAACAAUUCAACAAUUAUUUGAAGGCCACAAUAUCAACUAUAUUGAGUGCAUUAAUGUGGACUACAAAUCUAGCAGAAAGGAGUCAUUUUAUGAUCUACAGCUUGAUGUCAAAGGCUGCCGGGAUGUUUAUGCUUCUUUUGAUAAAUAUGUUGAAGUUGAGCGCCUUGAAGGAGACAACAAAUAUCAUGCGGAGCAAUACGGGUUACAGGAUGCUAGGAAGGGUGUUCUCUUCAUUGAUUUUCCCCCUGUCUUGCAACUUCAACUGAAACGCUUUGAAUACGAUUUCAUGCGAGAUACCAUGGUCAAAAUAAAUGAUCGCUAUGAGUUUCCACUGCAACUUGACCUAGAUAGAGAUAAUGGCAAAUAUCUUUCUCCAGAUGCUGAUAGAACCGUUCGCAACGUUUAUACUUUGCACAGCGUUCUUGUUCAUAGUGGUGGAGUGCAUGGUGGACAUUACUAUGCUUUUAUCCGACCAACUCUUUCUGAUCAAUGGUUUAAAUUUGACGAUGAGAGGGUAACAAAAGAAGAUACCAAAAGGGCACUUGAAGAGCAGUAUGGUGGUGAGGAAGAGUUACCGCAGGUUAACCCUGGCUUGAAUAACACACCAUUCAAGUUUACAAAGUAUUCAAAUGCAUACAUGCUUGUUUAUAUACGUGAGUGUGACAAGGACAAAAUAAUCUGUAAUGUGGAUGAGAAGGACAUUGCUGAGCACCUAAGGGUAAGACUGAAAAAGGAACAAGAAGAGAAAGAGCAAAAGAAAAAAGAAAAAGCUGAGGCUCACCUUUAUACCAUCAUAAAGGUUGCCCGGGAUGAGGAUUUGGUGGAGCAGAUUGGAAGAGUUAUAUUUUUUGACCUGGUAGAUCAUGAUAAAGUUCGUAGCUUUCGUAUACAGAAACAGAUACCUUUUAAUACUUUCAAGGAGGAAGUAGCCAAAGAGUUUGGCAUCCCUGUGCAAUUUCAGCGUUUCUGGUUGUGGGCUAAGCGGCAAAAUCAGACAUAUCGUCCCAACAGGCCAUUGAGUCCUCAGGAAGAGGCACAGUCUGUUGGACAACUAAGGGAGGUGUCAAAUAAGCCAAACAAUGCAGAGCUUAAGCUGUUCUUGGAAGUGGAAUUUGGAUUGGACUUACGACCUCUUCUACCACCUGAUAAAACCAAGGAAGAUAUACUGCUGUUUUUCAAGCUUUAUGAACCUGAGAAGCAAGAGCUUCGGUAUGUGGGGAGACUCUUUGUGAAGGCAUUGGGGAAGCCAACAGAAAUUCUGACAAAAUUGAAUAAAAUGGCUGGUUUUUCACCCAGUGAAGAAAUAGAACUCUACGAGGAAAUUAAGUUCGAGCCAAGUGUUAUGUGUGAACACAUCGAUAAGAGACUUACUUUUCGUUCUAGCCAGCUUGAAGAUGGUGAUAUUAUUUGUUAUCAAAGAUCUCCCUUACUAGAAAGUGCUGAUCGAUUUUGGUAUCCUGAUGUGCCAUCUUUUUUGGAGUAUGUUCACAAUCGACAGGUUGUGCAUUUCAGAUCACUAGAGAAGCCAAAGGAGGAUGAUUUUUGUUUGGAACUGUCAAAGUUACAUACUUACGAUGAUGUCGUAGAAAGAGUUGCUCAUCAACUUGGUGUGGAUGAUCCAUCAAAAAUUCGACUUACAUCUCAUAACUGCUACUCUCAGCAACCUAAACCUCAACCCAUCAAGUACAGGGGUGUAGAACAUUUGUCAGACAUGCUGAUCCAUUAUAACCAGACUUCUGAUAUAUUGUACUAUGAAGCACUGGACAUUCCUCUGCCAGAAUUGCAAGGUCUGAAAACACUGAAAGUUGCAUUUCAUCAUGCUACAAAGGAUGAGGUGGUAAUUCAUAGUAUCAGACUUCCCAAAAAUAGUACAGUUGGGGAUGUGAUUAAUGAACUGAAAUCAAAGGUUGAGCUUUCUCAUCCUAAAGCUGAGCUCCGGUUGCUUGAGGUCUUUUAUCAUAAAAUAUACAAGAUUUUUCCACCAAGUGAAAAAAUUGAGAAUAUAAAUGAUCAGUAUUGGACUUUGCGCGCAGAGGAGAUUCCGGAAGAAGAGAAAAGCCUUGGGCCUCAUGAUCGCUUAAUUCAUGUGUACCAUUUCAUGAAAGAUCCUAAUCAGAACCAAAUGCUUCAGAACUUUGGGGAACCUUUCCUUUUUGUUAUUCAUGAAAGUGAGACUUUAGCAGAGGUAAAGGUGCGGAUCCAGAAAAAACUCCAUGUCCCGGAUGAAGACUUCUCCAAGUGGAAAUUUGCUUUUAUAUCAAUGAACCGCCCUGAUUACCUUGAGGAUUCAGAUGUUGUGUCUACUCGCUUUCAGAAAAGAGAUGUCUAUGGUGCUUGGGAGCAGUACCUUGGAUUAGAACACUCGGAUGCCACUCCAAAAAGGGCUUACUCUGCAAAUCAGAACCGUCACGCGUUUGAGAAGCCAGUGAAAAUCUACAACUAGAAGUGAGGCAUCCCUCCUAGUGGGGUUUUUCCGCACGAACUGCUGCCAUGGUGUCCUUAUUUGUGAUAUAGUGCAAAUCCAAUGGGCACGAGACAAGCAGAAGAUGGGGUGUGGCGCUGUGCAGACGGGGGGUGUGUUUUGAUCUCAUUCACUAUCACGGCUCUCAACCGGUUCUUGGGUUUCUUUCUUAUCUGCGACCUUUUGGACGAAAGAGCCCCUGAUGAAGAGUACUAAGUUUGAUUGCGCGCUGGAAGAGACCGUGGUUGCACUGGUAGGGGCGGCUUUGUUUACUUUUUUCUGGAGUCGUGGUGGGAUCGUGGCAGAAUGAUUGCAAGUGACGAUGGUAUUGCCAAUUUUGAUACCAGCGGAGUUAGAUGCUUGACGCUUGUUCUUAAAGCUGCACAAUAAAUAUCGUUGAUAAUUAGUAUAGUAGUCCUUAUUCACAAAAUCGGAGUGUUGCAAUGUGUGCGCCAUCAUCUCUGAUUUAUUUGGGCAGCUGAAGAAAAAUUAGCUAAGGCGCAGAAUAGCGUUUAGAGUGGAACCGUAUCACAGCAUUUGGGGCCGUGGAAACACAGAAAGAUGCUGCAAUUUUAGCGCCAGACAGACAGCAAGAGGGAUUUGCUCGCGCCAGCCUCAGAAAGCCCGACUCUUUGCUACCCUGUAGCAUGCCUAUUACAGCCUACAGCCCCCGACUCGCCCCUCGACGGACUGGCUUUUGAUUCUAGUUAACCUGUGGCCUCAUCUAUAUGGUAGCAUGAUUAUAAUGCUAACAAUUCAGCACUCAAAAGUUCAUUCAUUGUAGCAAACUACAAUAACUAAAAUGCAAUCACACUAGACAUGUUCUAAUGCAA
Molecule: RNA transcript, 4429 nt
Organism: Ananas comosus (pineapple)
Lineage: Eukaryota; Viridiplantae; Streptophyta; Magnoliopsida; Poales; Bromeliaceae
Gene name: ubiquitin carboxyl-terminal hydrolase 12-like
Exons: 33
Source: RefSeq, a predicted model, not a curated record